UACGUUCUCGGACCUUGUACACACCGCCCGUCACACCACGAAAGUUAUUUGUACCCAAAGUUAUUUUAGUCAACCCGUAAGGGAGGCGGAUAGUUAAGGUAUGGGUAAUGAUUGGGGUG
RNAcentral lists this ribosomal RNA (119 nucleotides) under uncultured bacterium. Its description in RNAcentral is "partial 16S ribosomal RNA". It matches the Rfam family "Bacterial small subunit ribosomal RNA", at positions 1367 to 1482 of the family's 1533-position model. The record is from RNAcentral.